This 1298-nucleotide long non-coding RNA is filed under the name Ananas comosus (pineapple). RNAcentral describes it as "long non-coding RNA (ACOM_LNC017905)". Lineage: Eukaryota; Viridiplantae; Streptophyta; Magnoliopsida; Poales; Bromeliaceae. The record is from RNAcentral.
CGCGUUCCGAUUGCUCGUCGUCACUCGCAAUCGGCCUCCCGCGGCGCACGCCGCUCGGCUUGACCAAAUCCGCGCGCGACCACCAAAUGACCUCCGAUCCGCGAUCCGGAAAUUAAAGGUCUUCGGUUUCUUGUCACGAUGCUUCAAAUCCGUUUCCAGAAUUUUACGACGUCGCCUCGGCCCUCCAGGCGGAAACAAAGCCUAAACGUCCGUUUAUUUAAUAACUUCGCACCGGCUCGACGAAUCGCCGAACCGUCGCUUCCAACGCGUUCAGUGACCUAACAAUUAGGUUUACAGAGGGUCAAAUUAGAUCAAACGCUCAUAUUUUCAAAAUUAGCAUUUUUUAGCCCUAACAUGAAAUAACCUCCAAAUAAUCCAAAUUAAAUGGAACAAUAUGCUAAUAAUGAUCAUUAGAGGCUACUAGAACUCUUAAAGCUAAGGAUUAAGCCAAAUCCCAAAAGCUUACCUCAAUGUGAACGCCGCAACGAAAACACGCCGCUCCAACGGGCGCACGGAAACUCGAUCCGUCGCCUCCAACGCGUUCGCAAGCUCGAUCUCCACCAACCCUCCAAUUUUUAAAGAGAGAUAUAGAGAGAUGAGAGAGAUAUUUAGAGAGAGAAAGGAGGGUUUCUCUCCCCCUUUCAUGCGUGCAUGUGUGUGGCCAUGGUGGCGGUGGUCGGUUGAAGGAGAAGAAGCUGAUGCUUCUAAUUAAAGUCAACACCAACACUAUUUACUUCAGGCAACUUAAAAUCUGAUAUCUUUCGCCGGAGCUCCCAGAGUAUCCGUUUGAGCUCAAAUUUGACAGUCAUAUUCGGUUUAACGUACUGAACAAGAAUAUAUCUUAAGUUUUCAGUUUCGACACCGUUUGGUCACCGAAAACUGUAUCGAACUGCAAUCUUUAUCAGAUGGCUUUCGGAUUUUAUUUCUCACUCUACGGGUGUCAGAAAAAUAUGAAACCUUAAAUCUAGCCUCAUAAAAAUAUUUCUGACUUAUUCUCCAAUUUUCAUAAUUUUCUGAGACUGUGCAUUUUCUGUUAAUUUUUCUGUCCCGUUUUCAACAGAAAAUUCUAGAUCUUCUGUUUUCAUCCCGAUUUCAGCACAAGUCACUUCUGACUUAUAUUCUACUUCUCUAAAUCCAAUAAAAAUAGUAUCUCACACUAUUUUUAUUUAUUUUCACUUUUACAUUUAAAAUCCGGUAUGUUACAUUCCACCGCAACCUUACCGGAACCUUUUAAAUGGCUUUCCAGUCGAACGUACACCGUAACCUCAUGAUUUUUGAAGUCCGGUACCUUACACUUU